AGAGUUUGAUCAUGGCUCAGGACGAACGCUGGCGGCGUGCCUAACACAUGCAAGUCGAGCGGGAUAGUAGCAAUACUAUCUAGCGGCGGACGGGUGAGUAACACGUGGGCAACCUGCCCUAUGAUGGGGGAUAGCCAACCGAAAGGUUGAUUAAUACCGCAUAAUAAGUAAUCAUCACAUGGUGAUAACUUUAAAGGAGUAAUCCGUCAUAGGAGGGGCCCGCGGCCCAUUAGCUAGUUGGUGAGGUAACGGCCCACCAAGGCGACGAUGGGUAGCCGACCUGAGAGGGUGAUCGGCCACAUUGGAACUGAGACACGGUCCAGACUCCUACGGGAGGCAGCAGUGGGGAAUAUUGCGCAAUGGGGGAAACCCUGACGCAGCAACGCCGCGUGGAGGAUGAAGGCCUUCGGGUUGUAAACUCCUGUCUUCGCUGACGAUAAUGACGGUAAGCGAGGAGGAAGCCACGGCUAACUACGUGCCAGCAGCCGCGGUAAUACGUAGGUGGCGAGCGUUGUCCGGAAUUACUGGGCGUAAAGGGUGCGUAGGCGGAAUAUUAAGUCAGAUGUGAAAUCCCAGGGCUUAACCUUGGAGUGGCAUUUGAAACUGGUAUUCUAGAGUGCAGGAGAGGAAAGCGGAAUUCCUAGUGUAGCGGUGAAAUGCGUAGAUAUUAGGAAGAACACCAGUGGCGAAGGCGGCUUUCUGGACUGUAACUGACGCUGAGGCACGAAAGCGUGGGGAGCAAACAGGAUUAGAUACCCUGGUAGUCCACGCUGUAAACGAUGAGUGCUAGGUGUGGGGGG
RNAcentral lists this ribosomal RNA (800 nucleotides) under uncultured bacterium. RNAcentral describes it as "bacterial SSU rRNA". It matches the Rfam family "Bacterial small subunit ribosomal RNA", at positions 8 to 829 of the family's 1533-position model. The record is from RNAcentral.